UGGGCGUAAAGGGCUCGCAGGCGGUUUCUUAAGUCUGAUGUGAAAGCCCCCGGCUCAACCGGGGAGGGUCAUUGGAAACUGGGAAACUUGAGUGCAGAAGAGGAGAGUGGAAUUCCACGUGUAGCGGUGAAAUGCGUAGAGAUGUGGAGGAACACCAGUGGCGAAGGCGACUCUCUGGUCUGUAACUGACGCUGAGGAGCGAAAGCGUGGGGAGCGAACAGGAUUAGAUACCCUGGUAGUCCACGCCGUAAACGAUGAGUGCUAAGUGUUAGGGGGUUUCCGCCCCUUAGUGCUGCAGCUAACGCAUUAAGCACUCCGCCUGGGGAGUACGGUCGCAAGACUGAAACUCAAAGGAAUUGACGGGGGCCCGCACAAGCGGUGGAGCAUGUGGUUUAAUUCGAAGCAACGCGAAGAACCUUACCAGGUCUUGACAUCCUCUGACAACCCUAGAGAUAGGGCUUUCCCUUCGGGGACAGAGUGACAGGUGGUGCAUGGUUGUCGUCAGCUCGUGUCGUGAGAUGUUGGGUUAAGUCCCGCAACGAGCGCAACCCUUGAUCUUAGUUGCCAGCAUUCAGUUGGGCACUCUAAGGUGACUGCCGGUGACAAACCGGAGGAAGGUGGAGAUGACGUCAAAUCAUCAUGCCCCUUA
RNAcentral lists this ribosomal RNA (649 nucleotides) under Bacillus pumilus. RNAcentral describes it as "bacterial SSU rRNA". It matches the Rfam family "Bacterial small subunit ribosomal RNA", at positions 555 to 1204 of the family's 1533-position model. The record is from RNAcentral. Lineage: Bacteria; Bacillati; Bacillota; Bacilli; Caryophanales; Bacillaceae.